RNAcentral lists this ribosomal RNA (253 nucleotides) under uncultured bacterium. RNAcentral's name for it is "partial 16S ribosomal RNA". It matches the Rfam family "Bacterial small subunit ribosomal RNA", at positions 524 to 776 of the family's 1533-position model. The record is from RNAcentral.
UACGAAGGGGGCUAGCGUUGUUCGGAUUUACUGGGCGUAAAGCGCACGUAGGCGGGUCGAUCAGUCAGGGGUGAAAUCCCAGAGCUCAACUCUGGAACUGCCUUUGAUACUGUCGAUCUGGAGUAUGGAAGAGGUGAGUGGAAUUCCGAGUGUAGAGGUGAAAUUCGUAGAUAUUCGGAGGAACACCGGUGGCGAAGGCGGAUCUCUGGGCCAUUACUGACGCUGAGGAGCGAAAGCGUGGGGAGCGAACAGG